CGGAGCAGUGUUCUCCUCAGCACAGACCCAGGCGGGCCGGGGGCACCGCGAGGGCGGAGCUGCGUUCUGCUCAGCACAGACCCGGGGGACACCGCUAAGGCAGAGCAGCGUUCUCCUCAGCACAGACCUUUGGGGCACUGCCUCGCUUUGGGACAACUCGGGACCGCAUAGACGGGAUCAUGGCACAAGUUGCAGUUUCCACCCUGCCCAUGGAAGAUGAGGAGUCUGUUGAAGAUGAUUCCGUGGAGAGCAGGAUGGUGGUGACAUUUCUCAUAUCAGCUCUCGAGUCCACGGAUCAUGGCACAAGUUGCAGUUUCCACCCUGCCCAUUGAAGAUGAGGAGUCUGUUGAAGAUGAGGAGUCCUUGGAGAGCAGGAUGGUGGUGACAUUCCUGUCAGCUCUCGACUCCAUGGUCAGACCUUCUGUUCUCACAUUCUGUAGUUCAGUAGGACUGGGCGGUAGAUAAGGUUGAUUUGUUUUUGUAGAACUUACAAUUUUGUGAUUUUUAGUUCUAAUGAGUAGACCUUUUUCGUGAAUAGUAGUUACGGUCAAACACCUCUGACCAAAUGUGCAUGUGGAGUUUCUACACUGAUUUU
Molecule: long non-coding RNA, 595 nt
Filed under: Homo sapiens (human)
Lineage: Eukaryota; Metazoa; Chordata; Mammalia; Primates; Hominidae
Description: HSALNT0319557
Source: RNAcentral